CUCCGAUUCCUCCUUUCCCCCUUGGGGCGAGGUGUCCAUUGCCAGUUUCUUUCUUUCUUUUUUUAAAUUUUUUUAAAUUUUUUUAUUUAUACAACAAGAAAAACAAACAAACAAAAAACACAAAUACCAAAUUACACACAAAUUACAAAAAUAACCAUAGACACAUAAUAUUCUUAGCAAACAAUAAAACAUCUAUUCGUCUUAACACUAAAGACCCAACCUCCCGUCUAUUCCAUACUUCAAAUUCAUAUUACUUAUUGCCAAUACACAUUUUUUUCAUAAUUAAACUUAUUCUCAUUAAAUCUAAUUUCUUAUAUCUACCUUGCAACUAUUACUGAAGUUCCUCAAAUGCUGCAACAGAAUUUAAACUACUAUAUUUAUUUUUCAGAUAUUCUUUAAAAACCUCCCAUUUAGAAACAAAUUCCUGUUUUGAUUUAUUCUUUAUUUUUUCUGAUAAAUCAUCUAAUUCGGCAUAUUCUGUCAGCUUUUGGAUCCAAUCUUGCAUAGAGGGGAUUUCAUUACUCUUCCAUUUUGCUGCGAUCAAAACUCUUGCUGCCGCUGUCGCAUAUAAAAAGAUACCCUUCCUCUUUUGUGGAAUAUCCAAAUCUGUUAUUCCCAGGAGGUAGGCCUCUGGUUUUUUAUUGAAAGAGAUCUUUAGCAUUUUUUGCAGUUCUGCAUGUAUACUCUCCCAGAAUACCUGUAUUUUCCUACAUAUCCACCACAUAUGGUAGAAUGUUCCUGAGUCUCCGCAUCUCCAACAAUUACUUGAUACAUUUUUAUACAUUUUUGAAAGCUUCCAUGGUGUUAGAUACCAUCAAAGUUUUUUUUGAAAGUUCUCUCUAAUCGUGUAACAAUUUGUGAAUUUCCAAUUGAUCUUCCAUAAAUUUUCCCAUUGGGCCAUGGUUAUUGAGUGGCCAAAAUCCUGGGACCACCUCACCAUUGCCACUGUUACCUCCUCCUCCUUGACUGUCCAGUCAAGGAGGAGUCGGUAAGUUUUGGAAAGAGUUUUUCUUUUAGAAUUUACAAGAUCAGAUUUGAAUCGGGAAAUUUCUGUUGAGAACCCCUUUUGUUUGUCAGAUUUAAAUUUUUCAAAUAACUGAUGGUAUUGGAACCAGUCUGAAAUGUGGUCUCUUAUUUCCUCAAAGUUUUUAAAUUUUAUUUGGUUAUCUUCAUUUUUUAGAAGUAUUCUAAAAACAAUUUAGAAUUGUUUCCUGUUGUUCUCUGAGUUCCACUUGCAGAGGCUCCGAUUCCUCCUUUCCCCCUUGAGGCGAGGUGUCCAUUGCCAGUUUCACUGGGAUGAAAACCCAACCUUCCACAGCCCAGCAAUUCAAAAUUUCUGUCUUCACGUUGACUGGGUGGCAAAUUAUGCAAGUUGCACAGAAGAAUGUGGUUUGGUGAUGUGAUCUAAGAAGUCAAUCAUAUUUGAUGUUUCAGAAACAAACUUCAUUCAACGGAAGUAGCAAUAAUUUAUCUGAG
Molecule: non-coding RNA, 1476 nt
Organism: Podarcis lilfordi (Lilford's wall lizard)
Lineage: Eukaryota; Metazoa; Chordata; Lepidosauria; Squamata; Lacertidae
Source: the annotation of a GenBank genome assembly